GUCAUUUCUGCUAAAGCACGCCUGUUAUGCUCAUUUCCAUGUUCUUAUUCUUGGACUCUCUAAAGUAGCUUUGCAUGAUUCACAUACACCCUGGACAGAACUAAGAAAAAUGAAAAGCCAGUCUGUGGGAGGGCUAACACAGAAAGACAGACAAGCAUUCACACCUACGGGCAACUUAGCAUCAGCAAUUAACCUAUCCCUACUAACUGCAUGUCUUUUGACUUUGUGAGGAAGCUGGAAUACCCACAGAGAACAUGCAAGCUGCCAGAUGGUGGAUUUGAAGACAACAGCUGCUCUUCCCAUCAUUCAUCACUUUGGAGUGAAGCUCUCAAGUUUGUCUUUCUGGUGCUCUAUAACCUUCCAUUUCACUCGGAUAUCAAUCUGCCAGGUUUGCCAAAGUGAAGGCGUCCUCAGACCGAUUAAGAUGCCUUCGCCUUCGCCCGGGAGCACAGGUCCAAGCUGGCAGCGUCGGUGACGGUAGCUGCUGAACAGCAAAUACCCUUCUGUGGUACCUCGGCUAAUCCAGCGUGCACUCCUGUUGCUGGGCCACACUGAUAAAGCGCUGUCAAAGGAGCCUGUGGUCUGCUGCUGCUGCUGCUGCUAUGAUUGUCUCUAAAUCUAAUUACUAUAUCCUGUUCUGGAUCUCCCAUGUUCAGAGCCACCCCAAGAGAGGGGGGUUUGUUCAGCAGGCAGAGCUGAUUUAUAGCAGAAGAGAGCAAUUACAUUUCUGUUUAGUUACAGAUCACAGAGGCCUUGCUUCCUUCAGUUUUAAUGCAAACGGCGCUGUCACUGCACCGGGGUUGUUGUGUGAAAUAUCAGCUGGAGCUCUUUUCAUAUUUUUAUCCGUCAGCUUAGAGGCUUAUAGGUUUCGUUCUGACUUUGCUGGGAGGGAUGCACUAACACUACCCACCAUGUUUCCCUCCAGUUGUUUUUUGUACAAUAAAGAGGGAGGCUUGUUUAUUCCUGUAUACGCAGCAGCAGAUCUGAUGACACGCUGCUGUUGUUCCUCGGCGACAGGUGAAACGCAGCCUGCAAAAACACUGAGAGCAGAAAGGUGAUGUAAUGUGUUUUUAUGGGCGGCUGCGGUCCUUUUAAUGAUAGGGACGCCACAGACAGACUCCGGGAUGUGUGCUGCAAUUAGGAGUUGGUAGCUAAGCUGCUUCUGUUAUAGCAGCACUGUACAAAUGAGGGAGAACAGAGGCCACCCAAGCUUUUUUUGUUUGCAACCUCUUACAGUGUAAGUUGUACA
Molecule: long non-coding RNA, 1249 nt
Organism: Oreochromis aureus
Lineage: Eukaryota; Metazoa; Chordata; Actinopteri; Cichliformes; Cichlidae
Exons: 3
Source: RefSeq, a predicted model, not a curated record